This 331-nucleotide small nuclear RNA is filed under the name Mus musculus (house mouse). Its description in RNAcentral is "7SK RNA". It matches the Rfam family "7SK RNA". From Rfam's summary of the family: 7SK was discovered as an abundant small nuclear RNA in the mid-70s but a possible function has only recently been suggested. The record is from Rfam by way of RNAcentral. Lineage: Eukaryota; Metazoa; Chordata; Mammalia; Rodentia; Muridae.
GGAUGUGAGGGCGAUCUGGCUGCGACAUCUGUCACCCCAUUGAUCGCCAGGGUUGAUUCGGCUGAUCUGGCUGGCUAGGCGGGUGUCCCCUUCCUCCCUCACCGCUCCAUGUGCGUCCCUCCCGAAGCUGCGCGCUCGGUCGAAGAGGACGACCUUCCCCGAAUAGAGGAGGACCGGUCUUCGGUCAAGGGUAUACGAGUAGCUGCGCUCCUCUGCUAGAACCUCCAAACAAGCUCUCAAGGUCCAUUGUAGGAGAACGUAGGGUAGUCAAGCUUCCAAGACUCCAGACACAUCCAAAUGAGGCGCUGCAUGUGGCAGUCUGCUUUCUUUU